RNAcentral lists this long non-coding RNA (5511 nucleotides) under Triticum aestivum (bread wheat). RNAcentral's name for it is "long non-coding RNA (TAES_LNC003090)". Lineage: Eukaryota; Viridiplantae; Streptophyta; Magnoliopsida; Poales; Poaceae. The record is from RNAcentral.
UUAAAGCAGAAUGAAAAUAACUCAAAGCAAGGCAUGAUACCUUCUAUAGUCUUAAUUGUUGAAUGAUAAAAUAGACCAGGAGUACAUUAUGAAGGAAAGGACCGUUGUACAUUGGUAUUAAGCAUAGUUUGCAAGAAAAGAGAUAAAUGUGGUACAUAUGUUUUUACCAAUAAUAACAGUGGGGUGUGUGCAUGAUACAGAAUAACAUCCAGUCUGUCUGGUAGCACCGAUGUAGGAUACACAUAUAUUUAGACUACAAUAGGCAAGGGGUGGCAUUUUUAUAUAGACAUUGACUGCCUGAUAUGACCCAUCCAGAACACACAUAAUCUACAAUAGGGGCAGAACAGAUGCAUAUUUGCACCAACUCAGAAAGCAUGGCAAUAACUCAAUCUCUCAUCAUGCCAUCGAUAUUGCAUGGGAGGGGUCCCAUCUCAUCCUUCAUCUUUUUCACUUGGGGAUAUCAAACUCAAUCUCUCAUCAUGCCCACAAGACAUCUCAGACACUCAGUAGCAGCACUUUGCAUGGCCUCAUUAACAUCAGUAGCUGGUCUCCGCCAUAAUUUUUUAUCAGUUCCAAUGAAUGCCACAAGUAGACAGUAGCACCCUUAAACACGAUGGCACAUGCAAGUCAUUUACUUUGCAUCGAGCAAACCCAUCUGAGCAAGAACAACAUUGAGAAUGGCCUUUGGGAUGACCUUGAUAGCAUCCUUCCCUUUAAGAAUACAGUGCAUUUAGUAGAAGAAGGUAAACAUGUGUAUACCUACUUAUGAAUAACCUAUCUUAUAAGAAAAUGGGAAUGAACAGAACAAUAUAAGUUUCAGUACUCGACACACAACAUAAUCAUGUUUGUGCUCCAAGCAUACCACAAUCCAUAGCAAUAAUCCUGAAUGCGCGAUUACCCAAGAAAUAUCAAUAUGUGCAUUCAAGAAUACUCAUGACACAUAUCUUACUGGGGUAGGCCAAGCAUCAAGGAGCUAGCAAGGGACGCAUCCAUGAGAGGCAUGGAUAGAGAAAAUAUUGACUGCCCUACAAUUGUUUAGUGACCUAAUCAUGCAAACAACACAUGCAUACAUGUCAAACCUAUGGUGAUACCACAUACAUGUCAAACUGUGCCAAAAAACACUUUCUGGAAAGAGUUAAUGUAAACUCAAGUAAAUCUCUCUUCAAAGGUGAAAAUUUGCUCUACGACAUCAAUCAUUAGGAUAUACUUUCCUAUCACUUACAAAGGAGCAGGGGAAGCUCCUCUGUCUAAGGAUGCAUACCUAACAUAGCAGAAGACGGUGCCACACAAAUAAAUAUAUCACAAUCCCUCUGAUUGCAAACUUAUAGAUUUCAGUGGUAGUGACAUCAGUAAAACCGGUGGAUAUUAGAACAUCAGAGGGCCUAUCUAAAUUUCAAAAGAAAUAGCUAUAGUAUGAGCACAUUUAAGAUCUGAAAACCCAAAACAAAUUCCACUUGUCCAUUAAACUCUAAUGAAUUACAUGCUUUCACCUCCACAUCAAUUCUCACAUGGUAUAAAAAGAUCAAAAAUCACGUGCAAGUACUGUAUUAAGUGUUGUUUUACCACUGACUUUAUUACAAAGCUCGAGGAGGCCUCCACCAGCGUUGUGGAAUUAAUCAAUUUAUCAUAGGCACUGCAAAAUAGCAAAUCAUGUAGAUGCACCUCUCACUCCACUUUCUUAUAAGUACUUCUCAAACUAUAAUUGUUUGUGGCAAGACACCCUUCCUAUCCCACUAAACCAAGCUAUACCCAUAUCUUCAUUCAGAGCCCGUAAGCAUUCAGAUCAAGGUAUUCACCAUUUUUCUUAAUGCAUAAUAAACUAAAUCAAUAUAUUUGCAAAAGAGACAAAAAGUAUUCAAUAAACAUGCAACGUUUCUGAUCAGAACAAUCAUGGUAUCAUAAGCACAAAAUGUUUCAGAGCAAUGUACAAAAGAUAAAAGACUACAAUCCAAGGGAAAAGGAAAACCAAUUUGAGGUUGAAGCUAUCAAUUUAAGUAUAUAACCAACAAUGUUAGCUAUAACGUUUUGGGAUGCAACUUAUUCAGUUUGAACUAUGAACUUGCAAUCUAAUAGAGUAAUCAGAUUGAGAAGAGAAAACUAACUCACGUGAGAGUGGCCCAAUACUUGUAGUGUUCAGUUCUGCAUCAUUGUCUGUGAGACAAAAUACAAACACACAAAAGGCAGUAAGCACAUGGAUAACAAAGAUACUGAAUUGGGGCUUGAAAAAAUGAAAAUAAAACAUAGAAGGAUGCUCAAAAGAGUAUAAUAAAAAUGCAACAAAACAAAAGACUUCUUAAUCAUCUUGUCAUCAUACAAUGAAACUCAGGUCUUCUUUUCAUAACAAACACAAUCCUUUUGCAUGUGUACAUAGAAUUGGAAGUACUGAUUUACCUUUAGUUGCCUCCGGUGCACACCAUCAGUACCCUCUCAGAUUCAUGACAGAAAGUCAAGCCUGUGCAUAUGAUUAGACCAUGUACUCAACCCAUGGAUUUCGAGUCGCUCGACUAGUCGCGACUAGUCGACGACUAGUCUAUGAGUCGCAAAAAUAUGGUCGACUCAGCUUAGUGUCGACUCGCGACUCAGAGUCGCGACUAGUCACAACGCAGGCUCGACUUCUUCCGAGUCGCUGCCCCAAAGCGACUCGCAUGAGUCGCGACUCAAAAACCAUGACUCAACCUAGAAUAAUCAAACUUCUCCCAGUUUUUCACAAUUUAUAUGUGUACAUAAGAGUAGUUAAAACAGAGAUUGAAAUGGGCAUGCAGAAUAGAUUAUCUGCCGGCAUAUAAAAGUGGAGAAUUUUUGAAAAAUAAAUAUUCAUAACAGGAAUCAUGAACACACCAAAUAAGUUUCACAUUUCAUAUAAUUUCUUACAAAGCAUAAUUCAAAUAAAGUUAAGAUAGGACAAGAAAGUCAGAUAAUUUACAAUAGGAGAAGAGGAUAGCCCUAAAAAGCUUUGAAACUUCAUGCCUCACGCAUCCCAUACUCUUUGCAAUGGGCUAAAUCUAAAAUACAUAUCACCGAUGAUUCUAUUCUCAAAUCAAACAAAACAAAAGGCAAAGGGGCAGCAAGGCUUGAUUACAUAUCCUCUAAACUCCUCCAUAUCUGGGCUCCAAGGACUAUAGAGAAAGGGAGCUAAGCCAUCGACACACUAUCCCUUCCCGAUCCCGAGCGGACAGAUAACUAUUUCUCAAAUCAAGGGAAGCAACUCCAAGAAAUAGAAAAACAACUUGUGGACAUCAUUUUAUUUAGUCAGUGAGUUGGAAAGAUACCUACUGAACUUACACGACUCAAGAGAAUAUUCCAGCUUCCACCAAAGAAUUUUUUGUCACCUUAGCCCUACGAAAAAUCACAUGCAAUAGUUAACAAUGAAAAAAUAUACUAGAUGAAAAUAUGUGUGCCCAGAUUGUGAGCCUAAGCACAAGGGAAACAAAAAACAUCAAAGAUUGUGCUCAGAAUAUAACAGCAAUCUUAUGAACAAAGUAUGUAACUGCAGUAAAAAAACAAAGUUAGAAUAGUGAAUUGGCUUCUUAUACUAACAGUGAGAUCCUGCAUUGCCCGCUUGUAAAGAGAGUGCAUAUCGUGUGUUUCUAUGCAGACUGGAUAUAGAAAAAUGACUGCAACAUGUUGUUUGCUGCAUACAACCUCAUAAAAAUGGCAUAACUAAUGCAAGUAUGUUUUAGUGUCAACUGGAACGAAUAUAAAACUCCAAUAACAAAUUUGCAAGUUUGGAGCAAAUAUAACUUAUUUUGUUCAUGUCUUCGAGAAACACUUAUUUUGUUCAUGCCUAUAAUAUAAUUAUGGCACAACCCUAUAUGUCUUCCACAAAAAAAAUAGAGAGGAAAGCAAUCACAUUAAUAAUUUUAUAGGAAAACGAUGGAAACAACUCACUUCUAGUUUUCAUAGUUAGAGUUGCAGGUAACCAUCAUAUGAGAGUACUCUUAUAUAUUUGAACAUCGUCAGUCAAUCGGGAGCUCUGUUGGCAUACAUCAUGGGAACCGUGUAUUACGAAACCUAAGCAACUAAUGUACUCCAUGUACCUGAUUGUACGACCAUGGCAAAACGUUAUUUUUAAAUCUGACUAUCCGAUACAAUAUACACUGUAGGCAAUGUUUCCUGGCCUAUGAGUUGGCUGUGGAGAGAAGUACUAUGUUCACCCCUUCUCUGUGCCCGUGACGAAUCCAGUGAUGGCAAAAAGUAAAAAAAAAAAACAAAUAGAAAUGCAAAGAGGUGAUGCCCGCAAGUUCUGGCUCGUGAGACCGUGAGAACCAUCGUGGAGUCCAUCCCAUGCACACCCUCGGAUCCGAUUCUUUGUGUGAAAGCCAAAGGCCCGGUCGGGUCGGGCCACAGCGUCAGCAUCAUCGCCACGCAUGGUAUAAAUACUGCAGAUCUAUACCCUGAAGAAGGCUACUGUUAUUGCAUAUGUGUUUCAAUUUUUCAUUUACAGAUCUCUGCAAAAAUCAAAAAAGUUGCCGUGAAUUCACUCCAAGUAAUGAAGCUUACAGAGAUAGCGAGAGUAAAAGAUAGGACUGUAGUGUGACUCGCCCUUGAGAAUCCCCGGGCAUAUGUAGAGUUAUCAAUUUGGGAAGAGUGAAUGGAAUUGAACUAACCAGGAAGCCAAAAUGACGUCUAUCAACCCUCCCAGUCUCGCCAUUGAACCAACCAGGCAACUAAAAGCAGAUCAGAGGUCGCCUCUAGGGACUCUAGCAGCGCCACCAUCAGCUGUUCUCUGCCGCUUUCGUUGUUCCAGGCCAAGAAGACAGAUGAGAUGAGGAGGAUGGGAAAGAGCAACAGUAGUUGGAUCUGUUUCGGUGGCCUGCCAGCGUGAGGAAACUUCGUUCGUUAGGGAAGGGAAGAAAGCAAAUGGUUCGAGGCACGUGGAGGAGGAGAGGGGAGCAGACCUUGAAGAGAUCCAUGGUGGCGUCGGAGCUGAGGAGGGAGGAAGACCGGCAUCAAAGCCCACCCACCGGACGGCCAGGCAGUCAUCACCCGACAAAGGAAGCAGUUGAACCCCUCAUCCACCUCUUACGGCGUGCGAUUGUGGAUCUUGCGGAGCUCGACAGAAACCACACAAAGGGAGGAGGCGGGCUUGGUCUUCCGGGAGCGCUGCUGCGGCCGGCGGAUCGGGCAGCGCCAUGGCCAUGGCCGUCGGCUGACCUGCGGCCGUGGUGGACGAAGUCCGCGUCCACCUGCAUCUUGACACCGCCAUCAGAUGCUCUCCACAGCUUCCCAUGUUCCAGGCCAAGAAGACGGACGAGACGAGGAGGAUGGGGAAGAGCAACAGUGGCCGGAUCUGUCUCGGUGGCCUACCUGCGUGAGGAAACGUGACGGAGCGGUGGCCUGAGUUCGACGAUGGGGAGGAGAAGACGUCUCGCAGCUGUCGGGGGCGCCGCCAGGAAGGGGAGCGGGGGAGGAGGACGAGUGGGAGAGGGCGGCGGCUAGGGUUCCCGCGAGGGAGGAAUGGGAACAAGGAGCAGGGCUGUCGCUCUCCCUCACUAGCAGUCAAGGUGUGUU